UACAGAGGUCUCGAGCGUUGGGCGGAAUCACUGGGCUUAAAGCGUGUGUAGGUUGAUGCCUAAGUACCUUGUGAAAUCCCUCGGCUUAACCGGGGAACUGCGUCCGAUACUGGUUGGCUUGAGUUUGGGAGAGGGAUGCGGAAUUCCAGGUGUAGCGGUGAAAUGCGUAGAUAUCUGGAGGAACACCGGUGGCGAAGGCGGCAUCCUGGACCAAUACUGACGCUGAGGAGCGAAAGCCAGGGGAGCAAACGGG
This 253-nucleotide ribosomal RNA is filed under the name uncultured bacterium. RNAcentral describes it as "partial 16S ribosomal RNA". It matches the Rfam family "Bacterial small subunit ribosomal RNA", at positions 524 to 776 of the family's 1533-position model. The record is from RNAcentral.